CCUACGGGAGGCAGCAGUGAGGAAUAUUGGUCAAUGGGAGAGAUCCUGAACCAGCCAAGCCGCGUGAGGGAAGACGGCCCUAUGGGUUGUAAACCUCUUUUGUCGGAGAACAAAACCCGGGACGUGUCCCGUACUGCGUGUACCCGAUGAAAAAGCAUCGGCUAACUCCGUGCCAGCAGCCGCGGUAAUACGGAGGAUGCGAGCGUUAUCCGGCUUUAUUGGGUUUAAAGGGUGCGUGGGCGGUCCGUUAAGUCUGCGGUAAAAGUGCGGGGCUCAACCCUGUCGAGCCGUUGAAACUGGCAGGCUUGAGUGGGCGAGAAGUACGCGGAAUGCGCGGUGUAGCGGUGAAAUGCAUAGAUAUCGCGAAGAACUCCGAUUGCGAAGGCAGCGUACCGGCGCCAGACUGACGCUGAGGCACGAAAGCGUGGGGAUCGAACAGGAUUAGAUACCCGAGUAGUC
Molecule: ribosomal RNA, 459 nt
Filed under: uncultured bacterium
Lineage: Bacteria
Description: partial 16S ribosomal RNA
Rfam family: Bacterial small subunit ribosomal RNA
Source: RNAcentral